GUGAAACAGUCCUAGUUCAACAAAUAUUAGAAAACUGGACCUGUAAUGGCAAAUGGUUGGUGAUUGGUGAUCCUUCUUUCAUUCAUGUAAUCCUGUGGCUGACUUCUUUAUAAACUCAUCCACAGAGCUAUUUCACUAUCAUAACCAAUGCAUUUGUCUAAGAUGAAUUCAGACAACAUUAUAUAUAGUGAAGCAUAUAUAUAUCACCAUAAAGCUUUUUGCCAAAGCUAAUGGAAUACAUUGGAAAUC
This 249-nucleotide long non-coding RNA is filed under the name Ficedula albicollis (Collared flycatcher). Its description in RNAcentral is "lncRNA (ENSFALG00000027443.1)". The record is from RNAcentral. Lineage: Eukaryota; Metazoa; Chordata; Aves; Passeriformes; Muscicapidae.